GCGGUAGUGGCGGAAUGGCAGACGCGCUAGGUUGAGGGCCUAGUGGGGGUUACCCCGUGGAGGUUCAAGUCCUCUUUACCGCACCA
RNAcentral lists this transfer RNA (86 nucleotides) under Sporosarcina sp. FSL W8-0480. RNAcentral's name for it is "tRNA-Leu". It matches the Rfam family "tRNA". Rfam says of the family: Transfer RNA (tRNA) molecules are approximately 80 nucleotides in length. Their secondary structure includes four short double-helical elements and three loops (D, anti-codon, and T loops). Lineage: Bacteria; Bacillati; Bacillota; Bacilli; Caryophanales; Caryophanaceae. RNAcentral also lists the same sequence under 1 other name. The record is from RNAcentral.